CCGCGAACGGGUGAGUAACACGUGGGUGACCUGCCCCCUACUCUGGGAUAAGCCUGGGAAACUGGGUCUAAUACCGGAUAUGACUUCAUGCUUCAUGGUGUGGGGUGGAAAGCUUUUGUGGUGGGGGAUGGGCCCGCGGCCUAUCAGCUUGUUGGUGGGGUGAUGGCCUACCAAGGCGACGACGGGUAGCCGGCCUGAGAGGGCGACCGGCCACACUGGGACUGAGACACGGCCCAG
RNAcentral lists this ribosomal RNA (237 nucleotides) under uncultured bacterium. RNAcentral's name for it is "partial 16S ribosomal RNA". It matches the Rfam family "Bacterial small subunit ribosomal RNA", at positions 96 to 334 of the family's 1533-position model. The record is from RNAcentral.